This is a non-coding RNA of Vigna radiata var. radiata (mung bean), 195 nucleotides long. NCBI's taxonomy places the organism in Eukaryota, Viridiplantae, Streptophyta, Magnoliopsida, Fabales, Fabaceae. The record is from Rfam.
AUACCUUUCUCGGCCUUUUGGCUAAGAUCAAGUGUAGUAUCUGUUCUUAUCAGUUUAAUAUCUGAUAUGUGAACUAUUAGUUCACACGAUAUUAAAUUAAUUUUUUGAGGGAGAGAACCAUCAAAGUAGCUUGCUACUUGGUUUCUUAUGCAUCGCCUUUGUUUUGCACUCUUGCAAGGGCCUGGUGCAUCCCAC